This 300-nucleotide ribosomal RNA is filed under the name uncultured bacterium. Its description in RNAcentral is "bacterial SSU rRNA". It matches the Rfam family "Bacterial small subunit ribosomal RNA", at positions 399 to 691 of the family's 1533-position model. The record is from RNAcentral.
GCGUGCGGGAAGAAGGCCUUCGGGUUGUAAACCGCUUUUGUCAGGGAAGAAAUUGCCCGGGCUAAUACCCUGGGCCGAUGACGGUACCUGAAGAAUAAGCACCGGCUAACUACGUGCCAGCAGCCGCGGUAAUACGUAGGGUGCAAGCGUUAAUCGGAAUUACUGGGCGUAAAGCGUGCGCAGGCGGUCCUGUAAGACAGAGGUGAAAUCCCCGGGCUCAACCUGGGAACUGCCUUUGUGACUGCGGGGCUGGAGUACGGCAGAGGGGGAUGGAAUUCCGCGUGUAGCAGUGAAAUGCGU